Molecule: long non-coding RNA, 642 nt
Filed under: Homo sapiens (human)
Lineage: Eukaryota; Metazoa; Chordata; Mammalia; Primates; Hominidae
Description: non-protein coding lnc-RRP12-3:2
Source: RNAcentral
GUGAGAUACUGCAUCCCCGGCGAACGUCUGUGUAACUUGGAGGAGGGCAGCCCGGGCAGCGGCACCUACACCCGCCACGGCUACAUCUUUUCGUCGCUUGCCGGCUGUCUGAUGAAGAGCAGCGAGAAUGGCGCGUUUCUUCUAGCCGUAUCGCCGCUGUGGUGCACUUAGCCACCACACACUAGUUGUGUUGAUCUCGCUUGGUUGUGCUGCUGACCCUCGGGGAGGGAAGUUGGGACAAAAGCAGAUGCGAACUCAGUAUCCCAUCCCAGCCCAGCUCAGCCCAGCACUUCCAGUGGUGUCUGUAGUGAGAGAAACAGAGUCCCAGUUACUGCCAGAUGUGGGAGCUAUUGUAACCUGUAAGGUCUCUAGCAUCAAUUCACGCUUUGCCAAAGUACACAUCCUGUAUGUGGGGUCCAUGCCUCUUAAGAACUCUUUUCGAGGAACUAUCCGCAAGGAAGAUGUCCGAGCAACUGAAAAAGACAAGGUUGUUGGUUGAAAUUUAUAAGAGUUUCCGCCCAGGUGACAUUGUCUUGGCCAAAGUGAUCUCCUUAGGUGAUGCACAGUCCAACUACCUGCUAACCACCGCCGAGAACGAGCUGGGAGUGGUGGUAGCCCACAGUGAGUCAGGUAUCCAGAUGG